This 664-nucleotide ribosomal RNA is filed under the name uncultured fungus. Its description in RNAcentral is "eukaryotic LSU rRNA". The stretch from base 249 to 403 matches the Rfam family "5.8S ribosomal RNA". The record is from RNAcentral. Lineage: Eukaryota; Fungi.
AAGUCGUAACAAGGUUUCCGUAGGUGAACCUGCGGAAGGAUCAUUACCGAAUUGUCAACAUGAAGUUGUUGCUGGCCCUCAGAUGGGGGCAUGUGCACGCUCUGUUUACACAUCCACUCACACCUGUGCACUCUCUGUAGUUCUAUGGUCUGGGGGCUCGGUCCCCCUACCGUGGUUCUGCGUAUUCACACACACACACUGUAAUAAAGUCUCAUGGAAUGUAUGCCGCGUUUAACGCAAUGCAAUACAACUUUCAGCAACGGAUCUCUUGGCUCUCGCAUCGAUGAAGAACGCAGCGAAAUGCGAUAAGUAAUGUGAAUUGCAGAAUUCAGUGAAUCAUCGAAUCUUUGAACGCACCUUGCGCCCUUUGGCCAUUCCGAAGGGCAUGCCUGUUUGAGUAUCAUGAACACCUCAACUCCUCAUGGCUUGCCAUGAUGAGCUUGGACUUGGGGGUCUUGCUGGCCUGCAGUCAGCUCCUCUCAAAUGAAUCAGCUUGCCAGUGUUUGGUGGCGCCACAGGUGUGAUAAACAUCUACUCUUGUGGUCCCCUGCCAUGUAACCUUCAGCGAUGGAGGUUUGCUGGAGCUCACAAAUGUCUUUCCUCAGUGAAGACAGAUCUGUGAUUGUUUGAUCUCAAAUCAGGUAGGACUACCCGCUGAACUUAA